GGGAGAGUGAGGAUGAGGUUAGGGAGAGGAGUGAUGGAGAGUGAGGAUGAGGUUAGGGAGAGGAGUGAUGGGGAGUGAGGAUGAGGGAGAGUGAGGAUGAGGAGUGAUGGGGAGUGAGGAUGAGGGAGAGUGAGGAUGAGGAGUGAUGGAGAGUGAGGAUGAGGUUAGGGAGAGGAGUGGUGAGGAUGAGGUUAGGGAGAGGAGUGAUGGAGUGAGGAUGAGGUUAGGGAGAGGAGUGAUGAGGUUAGGGAGAGGAGUGAUGAGGUUAGGGAGAGGAGUGAUGGGGUUAGGGAGAGGAGUGAGGGGGAGUGAGGAUGAGGUUAGGGAGAGGAGUGAUGGGGAGAGAGGAUGAGGUUAGGGAGAGG
Oncorhynchus tshawytscha (Chinook salmon) is the source of this 365-nucleotide long non-coding RNA. The record is from Ensembl. Lineage: Eukaryota; Metazoa; Chordata; Actinopteri; Salmoniformes; Salmonidae.